Molecule: ribosomal RNA, 321 nt
Filed under: uncultured bacterium
Lineage: Bacteria
Description: bacterial SSU rRNA
Rfam family: Bacterial small subunit ribosomal RNA
Source: RNAcentral
UCUGAUUAGCUAGUUGGUGAGAUAACAGCCCACCAAGGCAACGAUCAGUAGCCGACCUGAGAGGGUGAUCGGCCACAUUGGGACUGAGACACGGCCCAAACUCCUACGGGAGGCAGCAGUGGGGAAUAUUGCACAAUGGGGGAAACCCUGAUGCAGCAACGCCGCGUGAAGGAAGACGGUUUUCGGAUUGUAAACUUCUAUCAAUAGGGACGAAAAAAAUGACGGUACCUAAAUAAGAAGCCCCGGCUAACUACGUGCCAGCAGCCGCGGUAAUACGUAGGGGGCAAGCGUUAUCCGGAAUUACUGGGUGUAAAGGGUGAG